AUUGAACGCUGGCGGCAUGCCUUACACAUGCAAGUCGAACGGCAGCACGGGAGCUUGCUCCUGGUGGCGAGUGGCGAACGGGUGAGUAAAGCAUCGGAACGUGCCCUGAAGUGGGGGAUAACGUAGCGAAAGUUACGCUAAUACCGCAUAUUCUGUGAGCAGGAAAGCAGGGGAUCUUCGGACCUUGUGCUUUAGGAGCGGCCGAUGUCGGAUUAGCUAGUUGGUGGGGUAACGGCCUACCAAGGCGACGAUCCGUAGCUGGUCUGAGAGGACGACCAGCCACACUGGGACUGAGACACGGCCCAGACUCCUACGGGAGGCAGCAGUGGGGAAUUUUGGACAAUGGGCGAAAGCCUGAUCCAGCAAUGCCGCGUGUGUGAAGAAGGCCUUCGGUUGUAAAGCACUUUUGUCCGGAAGAAAUACCGCCUGGCCAAUACCCGGGCGGGAGUGACGGUACCGGAAGAAUAAGCACCGGCUAACUACGUGCCAGCAGCCGCGGU
Molecule: ribosomal RNA, 500 nt
Filed under: uncultured bacterium
Lineage: Bacteria
Description: bacterial SSU rRNA
Rfam family: Bacterial small subunit ribosomal RNA
Source: RNAcentral